AACGAACGCUGGCGGCAUGCCUAACACAUGCAAGUCGAACGAGACCUUCGGGUCUAGUGGCGCACGGGUGCGUAACGCGGGGGAACCUGCCCUUAGGUUCGGAAUAACUCCCCGAAAGGGGUGCUAAUACCGGAUAAUGUCUUCGGACCAAAGAUUUAUCGCCUUUGGAUGGGCCCGCGUUGGAUUAGCUAGUUGGUAGGGUAAAAGCCUACCAAGGCGACGAUCCAUAGCUGGUCUGAGAGGAUGAUCAGCCACACUGGGACUGAGACACGGCCCAGACUCCUACGGGAGGCAGCAGUGGGUAAUAUUGGACAAUGGGCGAAAGCCUGAUCCAGCAAUGCCGCGUGAGUGAUGAAGGCCUUAGGGUUGUAAAGCUCUUUUACCCGGGAUGAUAAUGACAGUACCGGGAGAAUAAGCUCCGGCUAACUCCGUG
RNAcentral lists this ribosomal RNA (433 nucleotides) under uncultured bacterium. Its description in RNAcentral is "partial 16S ribosomal RNA". It matches the Rfam family "Bacterial small subunit ribosomal RNA", at positions 29 to 507 of the family's 1533-position model. The record is from RNAcentral.